CUAAGAUAGAAGUUCUUCAUCUUCAGCACUUCAAAGUGACCCCAGCCAUCAGAUCAAAAGAAGAGAAAACCUAUCAGCCUGACAUCAAAGGCACCCCCAUCCCACACACUGGCAGCCUCCCAUGGAAACCUGUGGCACCAUCGUGUUUUAAGUCUGUUGCUAUCAUUGCUAUUCAGAACGGGUUCACUGUGCUGGGGAAAGUGAAUGACUCCUGACUGUGUUCGCCCUGGUGAUCUUUCCCUUUUUGGGUCAGAUGGUUCUCUUCAGUUUAAUGAUCUUCCAUCUGCUGACCAGCCUGCUAAGCUCUGAAGAAGAAAUUUCAACUAACAUCAGACCAAUUCUCAUCUGCCACUCUCCCCCAGUGCAGCAGGGCCUGCAAUGACAUGUACCAUUUCACCAAGCCUUGCCUGUGGCCCACCAGCAGCAUCCAUGCAGGGCAAAGCUUGAUUCAGAAGAAUAAAGCUCAUGGAUGAAACUGGGGGGACAUUAUAUUAGAAGAAAAUAAGCCAGGAACACAAAGUCAAACACCGCGUGUUCUGACUCAUAUGUGGAAACUUUAAGUUGAUGUUGGCCAAGCAUGGUGGCUCACGCCUAUAAUCCCAGCACUUUCGGAGGCUGAGGCGGGUGGAUCACCUGAGGUCAGGAGUUUGAGAUGAGCCUGGCCAACAUGGUGAAAACCGCUCUGUACUAAAAAUACAAAAAUUAGCCAGGCAUGGUGGCAGAUGCCUGCAAUCCCAGCUACUUGGGAGUCUAAGGAAGGAGAAUCACUUGAACCCAGAAGGCGGAGGUUGCAGUGAGCCAAGAUUACUCCAUUGCCCUCCAGCCAGGGCGACAAGAGCGAAACUUCGGGAAAAAAAAAAAGAAGAAGAAGAAGAAAGAAAAAAAAGUUUAUGUCAUAGAGGCAAAUAGUAAAACAGGAUAUGAAAGGCUGAAAAGGGUGGAGGAGGGAGAGGAUAGGACAAGAUUUGUUAAAAGACACAAAAUUACAGCUAGAUAGGAGGAAUAAGUUCUAGUGUUCUGUACCACAGCAGGAUGAGCAUAGUUAAUAAUAUAUUAAAUAGUUUAAAUAGCCAGGAGGAUAUUGAGUAUUGAAGGAGGAUAUGGAAUGAACAAAGAAAUGACAAAUUCUUUAAAUGAUGAAUAUACUAAUGACCCAGAUCUGAUCACUAUACACUAUAUAUGUAUCACAAUAUCACUAUGUACCCCAUGAAUAUGUACAAUUAUUAUGUGUUAAUUUUAAAAAUUAAAUGUAAUUUAAGUAUAUAUAGUAUAUAUAUAAAACAAACUUGGAAAC
Molecule: long non-coding RNA, 1294 nt
Filed under: Homo sapiens (human)
Lineage: Eukaryota; Metazoa; Chordata; Mammalia; Primates; Hominidae
Description: HSALNT0027552
Source: RNAcentral